This 950-nucleotide ribosomal RNA is filed under the name Bacillus sp. (in: firmicutes). RNAcentral's name for it is "bacterial SSU rRNA". It matches the Rfam family "Bacterial small subunit ribosomal RNA", at positions 427 to 1371 of the family's 1533-position model. The record is from RNAcentral. Lineage: Bacteria; Bacillati; Bacillota; Bacilli; Caryophanales; Bacillaceae.
AAAGCUCUGUGUUAGGAAGAACAAGGCGAGAGUACUGCUCGCACCUUGACGGUACCUAACCAGAAAGCCACGGCUAACUACGUGCCAGCAGCCGCGGUAAUACGUAGGUGGCAAGCGUUGUCCGGAAUUAUUGGGCGUAAAGGGCUCGCAGGCGGUUUCUUAAGUCUGAUGUGAAAGCCCCCGGCUCAACCGGGGAGGGUCAUUGGAAACUGGGAAACUUGAGUGCAGAAGAGGAGAGUGGAAUUCCACGUGUAGCGGUGAAAUGCGUAGAGAUGUGGAGGAACACCAGUGGCGAAGGCGACUCUCUGGUCUGUAACUGACGCUGAGGAGCGAAAGCGUGGGGAGCGAACAGGAUUAGAUACCCUGGUAGUCCACGCCGUAAACGAUGAGUGCUAAGUGUUAGGGGGUUUCCGCCCCUUAGUGCUGCAGCUAACGCAUUAAGCACUCCGCCUGGGGAGUACGGUCGCAAGACUGAAACUCAAAGGAAUUGACGGGGGCCCGCACAAGCGGUGGAGCAUGUGGUUUAAUUCGAAGCAACGCGAAGAACCUUACCAGGUCUUGACAUCCUCUGACAACCCUAGAGAUAGGGCUUUCCCUUCGGGGACAGAGUGACAGGUGGUGCAUGGUUGUCGUCAGCUCGUGUCGUGAGAUGUUGGGUUAAGUCCCGCAACGAGCGCAACCCUUGAUCUUAGUUGCCAGCAUUUAGUUGGGCACUCUAAGGUGACUGCCGGUGACAAACCGGAGGAAGGUGGGGAUGACGUCAAAUCAUCAUGCCCCUUAUGACCUGGGCUACACACGUGCUACAAUGGACAGAACAAAGGGCUGCGAGACCGCAAGGUUUAGCCAAUCCCAUAAAUCUGUUCUCAGUUCGGAUCGCAGUCUGCAACUCGACUGCGUGAAGCAGGUAUCGCUAGUACUCGCGGAUCAGCAUGCCGACGAGAGAUUACCAU